RNAcentral lists this long non-coding RNA (654 nucleotides) under Panax ginseng (ginseng). Its description in RNAcentral is "long non-coding RNA (PGIN_LNC003108)". Lineage: Eukaryota; Viridiplantae; Streptophyta; Magnoliopsida; Apiales; Araliaceae. The record is from RNAcentral.
CCAGAUCUAGAAACAAAGCAACCUACCUGAAAUUGAAUCCGGGCCAUUAAUUUCCCUUCCCUAUAUGUUCAUCUUCAUCCCCUCCACUUUUACUCUUAAACCCACUUUUUUUCUCCUCCAUUGUCGCUCUAUUUGGGUUCUAUUUUCUGCUUGUUCUGAUCUCAAAUAAUCCAUGAAAUUGCAUCAAUUGAUCUCAUUUUCUUCAACACUUUAAUAUCCAAUCAAAUCAGAUUUUGCUCAUCUCUCUUUCUCUCUCUAGAAAUCAAAACCUACAAUAAAGCAAAAACAAAUCAAAUUCACAAAAUUGAAAAGAAGAAUGCCAAAGUACUGUGAAAUUAUGGUUUUCAAACUUAUUGGAAGGGCUUUUCAAACUCAAUUUGUGGCAGACCCUAUCUCCAUGUCCGGUGCCAUCCCCAUGUCCUUGUUUUUUCUUUGAAACGAUGAUACCUAAUCAUUUCUUCCACUGCCUCAGCCAACCUGUUCACAUCAAAACUCCAAAUUCAUUAUUGAAGUUAGUGAAGAGGAAGAUUUUGAGUGGAGAUAUUUUUGGGUUUAGUGUAUCUAUAAGAUGAAGAUGAAUCUUAGGAGUAGAGAUGUAUUUGAGUGUAGGAGUAAAGAAAAAACAGAUCUGUAGUUUAUUUGGGUAGAUGUGUU